This 118-nucleotide ribosomal RNA is filed under the name Pteropus alecto (black flying fox). The record is from RNAcentral. Lineage: Eukaryota; Metazoa; Chordata; Mammalia; Chiroptera; Pteropodidae.
GUCUACGGCCAUGCUACCCUGAACAAGCCCGAUCCAUCUGAUCUUGGAAGCUAAGCAGGGGCGGGCCUGGUUAGUACUUGCAUGGGAGACCACCUGGGAAGACCAGGUGCUAUAGGGG